GCACAUCUGAGAAUUCAUACUGGAGAGA
RNAcentral lists this non-coding RNA (28 nucleotides) under Cricetulus griseus (Chinese hamster). The record is from RNAcentral. Lineage: Eukaryota; Metazoa; Chordata; Mammalia; Rodentia; Cricetidae.